This 468-nucleotide ribosomal RNA is filed under the name uncultured bacterium. RNAcentral's name for it is "partial 16S ribosomal RNA". It matches the Rfam family "Bacterial small subunit ribosomal RNA", at positions 28 to 507 of the family's 1533-position model. The record is from RNAcentral.
GACGAACGCUGGCGGCGCGCCUAACACAUGCAAGUCGAACGGAGCUGAGAGAAGAUUGCUUUUCUUAGCUUAGUGGCGAACGGGUGAGUAACGCGUGAGUAACCUGCCCUGGAGUGGGGGACAACAGUUGGAAACGACUGCUAAUACCGCAUAAGCCCACGAUCCGGCAUCGGAUUGAGGGAAAAGGAUUUAUUCGCUUCAGGAUGGACUCGCGUCCAAUUAGCUAGUUGGUGAGGUAACGGCCCACCAAGGCGACGAUUGGUAGCCGGACUGAGAGGUUGAACGGCCACAUUGGGACUGAGACACGGCCCAGACUCCUACGGGAGGCAGCAGUGGGGGAUAUUGCACAAUGGGGGAAACCCUGAUGCAGCGACGCCGCGUGGAGGAAGAAGGUUUUCGGAUUGUAAACUCCUGUCGUUAGGGACGAUAAUGACGGUACCUAACAAGAAAGCACCGGCUAACUACGUG